AAGAUGCUUAUUUAACAGGUGGAAUAUUCUUUAUAUGAAAUUUCAGCUAAAGACACUUUCUGGACCUGGUCUGAAAGGUCAUUUGUCAAAAAAGCUUAGGGAUAUUCUGUGAAAUGGUGAGUGGUCUCCUGGAAAGGUCUCAUUGUAUUUGAACAAUAGUCUUCCCUCUAAAUUACAACACCUCUGGGUUUUGUCUUUACACCUCUGUCUUUGUCAUCACCUACCAUGAAUAGUCACCUUGGUUUUGCAAAUGGGGAGGGGGUAUCAUCUUUUUGCCUGUUUUCACUGUAUUUUUGUAUAUUGGUGUUGCCGAAAGAACUUUUUCUUUCAGUUUAAUUCUUUGAGGCAUGUAGGACCAAUAAGAUUGAGAAUUCUAUUGGUGGAAUUUAGGGAAGUCCUUAAAAUGCUAGUUGACAAUCAAGGAACAGUAUGAUUUAUAUCAAUAAGAACCAAAAGAAUUAGGUUUGAUCAAUCAUUUAAGCCAAGGAGGAAUACUUGCAUUUAGAACAAUGCAAAACUUUGUCUAAAAUGAAUUAAAUUGACCCACCUGUAAAAUA
This 557-nucleotide long non-coding RNA is filed under the name Homo sapiens (human). Its description in RNAcentral is "non-protein coding lnc-TGFBR2-6:1". Lineage: Eukaryota; Metazoa; Chordata; Mammalia; Primates; Hominidae. The record is from RNAcentral.